ACUAGUUGAACUCAAUUCAUCUCGCCCUCCAAUUUGUUUUGUAAGGGUAAUUGAAACAUAUAUAUUUUGAUCCAAAAUUCUUGUUUAAUUUGUUUAUAGAUUUUCAUUAUAAUUAAAUUGUAUCCUGAAUUAAGAAUUAUUUACAUAUACAACAUGAAAAGAUUCCAAGAUCUGUGAUGAUAAUUACUCUGCUAUCGAUUAACACAUCUAAUUUGUUUUAAGAAAAUAACAGUUAGUAACCACUCAACAACUCAUCUCUUAGAAGUUAAAGUUAUGUUCUAUCAUAUCAAUCUUCUGCAAUCCUCUUUUUGAGAUUCCAAACAUAUUAAUCUCAAUUCUGCAAGAAAAUUCUCAGCACUACUAAUAUAAAAUUCCACUUCCUUAAAUUCAGAAAGUCAAUCACAUAAUUAAUAGCUUAAAUUCCACUUUUUAUUUGCUACUAUUUUUUCGAUGCUUAUAUGCAAUCAGUAUGUAUCAUAUCUUGUUGAUCCUAUAUGUAUGGAGUACACUCAUUCAUCAGCUCUGUGCAAUGUCUUUGGUAUAUAUAUCUGAUGUCUGGAACUUUUGAUUUUAAUCUGUGUCUUUGUUGCUCUAUUUUUGUGUCUUCUACCUUUAGAAGUUUUGUAGGCUUAGAAAUGGUUCAAACAUCAAUAUAGUUUAAUCCCCUGGUUGCCAAUCAUAUAUGUGUAGUCAAUUAGAGCCAACAUUAUAGCAACAUUUGUAGGCUCCAAGCUUUACAGCAACUUGUAGGUGACAGACUUUAAGAAUGGUUUCGUUCAUCUGGUUACCUUGUAUCUAACUUCAGCAUAAAAAUGUUCGUAACUUAGUUCAUUGACAUAGUUCAUCCCCUAGCACCAGUACAAAACAACACAAAAAGAGCUGAUACCUGUUCUGUAAGAAUAGCAUAAUUCUGACCCUCAGACUCCAAAAGAAUGAGGAUGGCUACAGUUGGUCCUCGUGCAAAAAUAAUGCCUGGAACCUAUUCCACUUCUGUAAGUAAGCAUAAGCUGGUGCAAACGACUCUCAUGUGAAGCAUAAGCUGAAGAAACUAGAAUAAUUUAUCACUAGGACUCUAGGAGGACCUUUGAUAGGACCCUGACACCUUUCUACUUCUUGUCCAAUUGGGAUUCUAACUAGUUACAGAAACCUCUGCUAGUAUGGAUGGGGCACUUUAGCUGGUGCAAACGACUCUCAUGUGAAACACAUAUGAAUAGUUAAUUCCACAUAUAGAGAAUGCUUUAAGGUUUUUUAUCAUUUAUAGUACAUGUUAUGUAGUCUGAACAGAGAAUGACUAAAUUGGACAGUCUGACUGAAGAAUAGCACUGAAAACUUUAUUUUUAACUAUCAACUACACGUUUGUAAGACCUAAUUGACAUCACUGCAAAUCCAUUCUAUAGCAGCAACACACUACAUAUUAUCAAAUUCAUGCAGUCUCUUAUUAUCUCAUAUCCAUACUCUGGUUUAGUUUGAGUAUAAUUUGACAAAUGGUAAAACAUUAUUUGAGACAUGAAAUCUGGAAAUUAUUUGACUAUGUUAAUAAGCCUUUGAUCAACACCAUUGAAUAAGUAAAUUAUUUGACUAUGUUAAUAAGUGCAAAGUGGAAAUUGGAGACAUGAAAUCUAGAAAUGGUUGAGCAUUGCGAAAGUGAGACCUUUAGUUUUGAGCCGCACAUCUUUAUAUUGGGCUACAUUCUAUAUUUAUGAUGUUUGCAAACUUGUGUUUGUGUAUCACUUUUAUGAUCGCUCAAAAUAUCAAUGUACUAAUUGUUUACUGCUUUUGGUAUUCUCCUUCACUAAAAAAUCUAUGAAUUAGUGUCCUCAUCAACACCAAGAAUCUCAUGACUGUGGAUAUUAUGUGUGCCGAUAUAGCUCGAGACUGUAGAGAAAAGGCGACAAGCAAUUCCUGAUAAGUACUUUGGCGGAGUUACAACUGAAUUUUCUCAAAAUAAACUUGAUGAGCUCAGAGACUUGUGGAUCAAAAAUAUGUGGAUGAAUAUAAACAAGUGGAUGAAGAAGAAUUGGAAGAUAAUGACCAUUUUAAUUAGGAUGUGUGUAUUUUCUUUUUGCGCAGGAUUAGGGAGGUGCUUCUAUUUUUGUGCACAUGACUUGGAAGAAACGACAGGCCUAGGUGUUCUAUUAUUUUUUUAUAACUUAGUUGAAUUUUUGGAAUCUUUUAAACAUUAUAUGUGAUUUUGUAGUGAAUAAUAUUAAAUGAAUGAAAAAGUAUUCCAAUUUUAAA
Molecule: long non-coding RNA, 2238 nt
Organism: Beta vulgaris subsp. vulgaris (sugar beet)
Lineage: Eukaryota; Viridiplantae; Streptophyta; Magnoliopsida; Caryophyllales; Amaranthaceae
Exons: 2
Source: RefSeq, a predicted model, not a curated record